RNAcentral lists this transfer RNA (154 nucleotides) under Aureobasidium melanogenum CBS 110374. It matches the Rfam family "tRNA". Rfam says of the family: Transfer RNA (tRNA) molecules are approximately 80 nucleotides in length. The record is from Rfam by way of RNAcentral. Lineage: Eukaryota; Fungi; Ascomycota; Dothideomycetes; Dothideales; Saccotheciaceae.
GCGGCGGUGGUCUAGUGGUCAAGACGCUGGAUCAAUAUGUCUUGCAAACACAAGCUCGGCAGUUGCGCCUCCCCUUAUACCCUGGUGGACUCACGUCUUCCUGUUUGGCAACAUGACGAUGCAGAGAUCGUGGGUUCGAAUCUCACUCGCCGCA